Molecule: long non-coding RNA, 577 nt
Filed under: Mytilus galloprovincialis (Mediterranean mussel)
Lineage: Eukaryota; Metazoa; Mollusca; Bivalvia; Mytilida; Mytilidae
Source: RNAcentral
AUUCGUAUAGAUAACUUUUGAAAAUACAAUUCUUAAUUUGAUACUUGAUUAAAUAUUAAAAGUAAACGAAUUAAGGGGAGAUAACAGAUGACACGACUGUUCAUUUAUGGCGCGUAUACUAUUGUCGGGUUUUGUAUUAUUGUUCGAUUGAUAUCGCGAAAUAUUUGAUGUAUAACUAUGAUGGAAAAGUAAUGUAAUCUUUAUUGUAACUAUUGUAAAUAUAUAGACUAGACUGUGAACCAGAAUAAAAUGUAGUUAGCAGACUGGAUUGUCUUUUAAAGGUCCCGUUGUCAUGCCGAGUCCAAGCUAGUUCCCAAAUAAUGUAACAUCAAUGUGAGCAGUUCCCCGCAAAAAGAAUCGAUAAAACCAUGAGAGAAAGACUACAACACGAAUCACAAAAACGGGACCAAGUUCCCGCAUAAUAUAUUUUGGUGGAGGCGAGUGGUAAAAUCAUCGGUACCUACAACAAUGAACAACAUGUAAAGAUGGACUUCGGCACAGUUCGACAAAUUACAACUUGCAGUCAACUGAUGGACAACUAAAGAAAAAGAACAGGACAACAUAAUAAUAUAAAGAG